This 1497-nucleotide ribosomal RNA is filed under the name metagenome. Its description in RNAcentral is "bacterial SSU rRNA". It matches the Rfam family "Bacterial small subunit ribosomal RNA". The record is from RNAcentral.
AGAGUUUGAUCCUGGCUCAGGAUGAACGCUGGCGGCAUGCCAAUACAUGCAAGUCGAACGAGAGGAAGGAGAGCUUGCUUUCCUGAAUCUAGUGGCGAACGGGUGAGUAACACGUAGGUAACCUGCCCAUGUGCCCGGGAUAACUUCUGGAAACGGAUGCUAAAACCGGAUAGGUAGCAGACAAGCAUUUGACUGCUAUUAAAGUGGCUAAGGCCAUGAACAUGGAUGGACCUGCGGUGCAUUAGCUAGUUGGUGAGGUAACGGCCCACCAAGGCGACGAUGCAUAGCCGGCCUGAGAGGGCGGACGGCCACAUUGGGACUGAGACACGGCCCAAACUCCUACGGGAGGCAGCAGUAGGGAAUUUUCGUCAAUGGGGGGAACCCUGAACGAGCAAUGCCGCGUGAGUGAGGAAGGUCUUCGGAUCGUAAAGCUCUGUUGUAAGAGAAAAACGACAUUCAUAGGGAAUGAUGAGUGAGUGAUGGUAUCUUACCAGAAAGUCACGGCUAACUACGUGCCAGCAGCCGCGGUAAUACGUAGGUGGCGAGCGUUAUCCGGAAUGAUUGGGCGUAAAGGGUGCGUAGGUGGCAGAUCAAGUCUGGAGUAAAAGGUAUGGGCUCAACCCGUACUGGCUCUGGAAACUGAUCAGCUAGAGAACAGAAGAGGACGGCGGAACUCCAUGUGUAGCGGUAAAAUGCGUAGAUAUAUGGAAGAACACCGGUGGCGAAGGCGGCCGUCUGGUCUGGAUUCUGACACUGAAGCACGAAAGCGUGGGGAGCAAAUAGGAUUAGAUACCCUAGUAGUCCACGCCAUAAACGAUGAGAACUAGGUGUUGGGGGAAUAACUCAGUGCCGCAGUUAACGCAGUAAGUUCUCCGCCUGGGGAGUAUGCACGCAAGUGUGAAACUCAAAGGAAUUGACGGGGGCCCGCACAAGCGGUGGAGUAUGUGGUUUAAUUCGAAGCAACGCGAAGAACCUUACCAGGCCUUGACAUCCCUUGCAGAGGUAUAGAGAUAUAUCCGAGGUUACCAAGGAGACAGGUGGUGCAUGGUUGUCGUCAGCUCGUGUCGUGAGAUGUUGGGUAAAGUCCCGCAACGAGCGCAACCCCUAUCCCCAGUAGCCAGCGGUCCGGCUGGGCACUCUGAGGAGACUGCCAGGGAUAACCUGGAGGAAGGCGGGGAUGACGUCAAAUCAUCAUGCCCCUUAUGAUUUGGGCUACACACGUGCUACAAUGGCGUAAACAAAGGGAAGCGAGCCUGCGAAGGUAAGCAAAUCCCAAAAAUAACGUCCCAGUUCGGACUGCAGUCUGCAACUCGACUGCACGAAGCUGGAAUCGCUAGUAAUCGCGGAUCAGAAUGCCGCGGUGAAUACGUUCCCGGGUCUUGUACACACCGCCCGUCACACCAUGGGAGUCAGUAACGCCCGAAGUCAGUGACCUAACUGCAAAGAAGGAGCUGCCGAAGGCGGGACCGAUGACUGGGGUGAAGUCGUAACAAGGUA